Molecule: ribosomal RNA, 479 nt
Filed under: uncultured bacterium
Lineage: Bacteria
Description: partial 16S ribosomal RNA
Rfam family: Bacterial small subunit ribosomal RNA
Source: RNAcentral
GAUGAACGCUGGCGGCGUGCUUAACACAUGCAAGCUGAGCGAAGCGCUUACGACAGAACCUUCGGGGGCAGAUGUAAGGGACUGAGCGGCGGACGGGUGAGUAACGCGUGGGUAACCUGCCUCAUACAGGGGGAUAACAGUUGGAAACGGCUGCUAAUACCGCAUAAGCGCACAGUAUCGCAUGAUACGGUGUGAAAAACUCCGGUGGUAUGAGAUGGACCCGCGUCUGAUUAGCUAGUUGGAGGGGUAACGGCCCACCAAGGCGACGAUCAGUAGCCGGCCUGAGAGGGUGAACGGCCACAUUGGGACUGAGACACGGCCCAGACUCCUACGGGAGGCAGCAGUGGGGAAUAUUGCACAAUGGGGGAAACCCUGAUGCAGCGACGCCGCGUGAAGGAAGAAGUAUCUCGGUAUGUAAACUUCUAUCAGCAGGGAAGAAAAUGACGGUACCUGACUAAGAAGCCCCGGCUAACUACGUG